This 490-nucleotide long non-coding RNA is filed under the name Bos taurus (domestic cattle). RNAcentral's name for it is "long non-coding RNA NONBTAT006972". The record is from RNAcentral. Lineage: Eukaryota; Metazoa; Chordata; Mammalia; Artiodactyla; Bovidae.
GGCUGUUCCAGACCCUGUUUAUCUGAGUUAGGAAUGGAAGUUCUAGCAGGAGGAGCAAAGCCUUCCCUGGCCUCUGGCCCAAGAGAGGUAUGAGAUCAUUAAGGAAUAGGAAGAAGGCCAUGGGUUAGGAAAGUGAGUUGUUGAGGGCCUUUGGGGGCUGGCUUACAGAACCCGUGAUUCUUCUGACCUCAUGGGGCCCUGUUGCACGUGCUUAGCAUCCUUCACACUAACUGCUGUUUCUUCCUGUGAUGACCCAAGGAAUCCUGCCAGCUCCGGACAGGGCUUGUAGAGAUUCUUAUCAGGAAGGGAUUAUACCAAUUUGGCAAGGAGAGCUCUUCCAGAUUUCUUGUUCUAGCAGACCUCUUAAUGGAACAGGCAGAGGGAAGGGAGAGUUGAUCACUCACCUAGCCAAAAAGAAGAGCUAUAUUAUAUUCUCUUGGACUGGCCUGAGCAUCCCACUUUGGCAAUUAAAAAAAGGUUUUUAACUUUU